RNAcentral lists this long non-coding RNA (1024 nucleotides) under Helianthus annuus (common sunflower). RNAcentral describes it as "hypothetical non coding rna". Lineage: Eukaryota; Viridiplantae; Streptophyta; Magnoliopsida; Asterales; Asteraceae. The record is from RNAcentral.
GUUUAAGAUGUUAAUUUCUUGCAAUCUGUACCCCAAACAAUGCUUAUACAAAUGUUGUCUAGAUGCCUAAAUUUAAAAAGUAAUUGUUGGAUUAUCGUAGAUCCAAUAUAAUACCUAAAACAACAAAUUCUAACAAGAUAUUAUUAUCAAUUUUUUCAAAAUCAAUUACAUACGAUCUAUAAAAUAAAACACGAGCAACAACAUUUACCAAUAAAACAAUAUUCACUCCCGUGUGUUACACGGGGAAUAACCUAGUGUAGUAAUAAAAUAAAACUUUUUGAAGACAUAAAUCACAAUUUCUGGUUAAGUCAAAAAAAUAUUUUUUCACUUCUCUCUCCUAUUAAAUGUUCAUGCUUUCUAUUAAAUGAUAAUGAUUUUAAAUAUCUAAAUAUCUAAAAUAUAAACGUUUUCUUAUUAAAAUUUAUUAAACAUAAGAUUUCAAUUAUAGGGUGGAGAUACAAUAGGAAGUUAAUUUUGUUAGGUAGGCUAGGAAGUGAUCUUGACCAUCCAUUAAGUUAAUCAAGGGCUAAGAUUAAAUCAGGGAAAUUGAAAAGAAAAAAAGAGGCGCGUGAGUUUGUUCAAGGGCAUUCUAAUCAAUACAAGUCAAUAGUUUCUCUCUCCUCCAAUCCCCCCCCCCCCAUUUUUUAAACGUUAAUAACUUUUUUAUACGACAUUAUUUUUUUAUAAAAAUUGCACCAAAAAAACGAGCGUUUUUUAAUCUUUAAAACGAGUAUACUAUUGUUAUAUUUAAAAAAAAAAAAUUUAAACCCAGUUGCUAUAUUUUUUAGAAAAACCACACCAGUUACGUAAAACGCAAUGAAAAAAAAAACCUAAAAAAUGACAUUUUUCUAAAACGCUAUGCCCCAAAAACACAAAGAAAUGACUUAUUUGUAAAACGCAAUGGCCAGAAAACACAAAGAAAUGUCUUAUUUCUAAAACGCAAUAGCCUAAAAGCUCAAAAGAAAUGUACUUUCUAAAACGCAAUGGACUAAAAACACAUAAAAAUGUGUUUUACCUAAAACGC